Molecule: RNA transcript, 6204 nt
Organism: Hemibagrus wyckioides
Lineage: Eukaryota; Metazoa; Chordata; Actinopteri; Siluriformes; Bagridae
Gene: cc2d2a
Gene name: coiled-coil and C2 domain containing 2A
Exons: 41
Source: RefSeq, a predicted model, not a curated record
CGUCAUCAAAAUCUGACGAAUCAGAAGCUGUGAUUCCUCCUCCAGCAGCCCUCGGGUUACGCUGCGCAUCUCAGAGAGAGACUGGUUGCAGCGUAGUUUCUCUCCGUUACCAAGCAGCGAAGAGAAAUGAUGGCGCACAUCUGAACCAGAAAGCAUGGACCGCUCUGACAUUUAAGCUUCUCCUGAAUUAUACCACUGUCUAAGACACAAAGGUCUUCCUUCAUUAUGUCUACUUCCAGUGAUAUCCGGGAGAAGCUGCGCAAGAAACGUCGAGCGCUUCAGGAGACUUUGGUGAAAGUGAGGGAUGACACACAGGCUCUGGUUCCCCCCGACUCUGGCACCACUCAGGAGAGCGAUCACACCAUGGUGGAGGAACUGACCGGCAGAGAGGAGGACCCCGGUGAAACCUUGCGGCACUCGCUGAAAGCCCAAAGAAUGAAAAAGAAGAAGAAGCUGUUGAAAGAAAUGGCGGUGGAGGUUCCUCCAGAGGACGAGGAGGUGGAGGAAGUGGUCACUGUUGUGCAGCAGCUGCAGGAGGAGCUUGUGGAUGACACGUGGGCAGGGGGAGAUCGCUUGGCUCGAGUACACAGAGACCUUCCUCCUCUUCCUGUGCCGAGGGCCGACUCCAGUCUCUCCGAGAGCUCUGUGAGGCAGCGUAUGAGGGAGAAGCUGAGAGAGGCCAGGUCCAAAGCGGCGAGUCUGUUGGAGCAGGAGGCUUCGCUGGAGCCGGCCAGUCGUCUGAAGAGCCUCAGAGAUAGAGUGACACUGACCAGAUUCGACCAGGAAUCAGACGAAAUUCCCGCCCAGGGAGCUGCUUCCAUCAGCGGCAGGGUGAAAUUCCGGGAUGCAGCCAGAUGUGUCACCAGAGACAAAAGGCCUGAAAGCAGUUUGCCCAGCGCUGUGGAAGCGUACAACUUUUUCACCCUUAACUUUGACCCUGAACCUGAAUCUGAAGAACAUCAACUCAAGGAGGAAAGAAAGAAAGGAGCAAGAGAAUGGAAAGGCAGAAGAGGAGAGGAAGAGCAGGAGGAGGAAGAGGAGGAAGAAGAGGAGGCUGAGAUGGAAGGAGAGCAUGAAGGAGAGGAGGAGCCUACAGAGAGGGAUGAAGAUGCUCCGCUGGUCAGAGAUGGGGAAGAGGAUCUGUUUGUUAUUCAGUCAGCGCAGGACUUCCUGGAACUGAAGAAGGCUGAGUAUAUCGAGGACAGCAGCCGUGUACAAAGAGAGAACGAGGUUCUCUUCAUCCCCAGUAUGAGACCCGUGCCUGCUUCUCGUAAGCUUCCAGAGAACUUGCGUCCCCGUUACCUGGAAGAGGAGGGUCUUUACGUAGGAGAGAGGCCGUACGUCUCCCUGACCAAUCAGAACAUUCUGGAAAACCGCAUUGUGAAGCAAAAUCAGGGUAUGAAGUGGUUUGGAGAUGAUGGGCGAAUCAUGGCUCUGCCUGAUCCAAUCAAAGAGUCCUCUUCAAGACCACCCCUUUUUCAUUUGGAGGAGGAGCUAGACCUGGCGCUACAGACCGUCUACAGAAAGGCGCUGAAAUCCAAGCAUGUCAACCGCUACAUGGUAGGAGUCGGUUUUGCCGGAGAUUAUCAGCUGGAUGUCGAUGUAUCCGGGCUAAUAUUUUCCCAUCAUCCCCUGUUCAGCAGGGAGCACGUGCUGGGUGCUCGGCUAGCCCAGCUGUACGACCAGUACCUCAGCAGACGGCACAAAAACUUCACCUGUCUCCUGACGGAUAAGCUGAAUGGGCUGAGAAAUGCGAUUCACAACAUGCUGGAGCGCCAUAACAGAGAGGGCCUUAGUCUGGUGAGUCAGCAAAGAAUCAUGGAGUACAGACAGGAAAUAAGACACACCCGUCAGCUCCGUGACUUAGAACAAGAGAGGGACCGAACUCUGCUGAAGAGCAUCGUCAAAGUCUGGAAAGAGCUCAAAGCACUGCGGGAAUUCCAGGGCUUCAUCAACACACCCUACAAACUCUACAUCAGGAAAGAGGAGGUGGAGCGAGAACAGGACCAACGAGAGCACGAGGCAGAGAUCUUAGCCGAGGUGGCCGAGCUGCAGACCGAGGUUGCGGAGGAUUACGAGAGGAAGAUGGUUGAGUACCGGAGAAAUCUGGAGGAAUGGAGGUCCUGGAGGAGGAAACAGAAAGCUGUAAAGAAGAAGCAGAAGAAGAAAAGACAGCAGUCUGACGGUGAGGAAGAAAAAGAGGAGGAUGAGCACAGCGAGGAAGAGCUGGGAGAGGAGCGAGUGAAACCUGAACCUCCACAGAAACCUGAUACAGCGAGUUUAGAGCAGCAGGUUCGAGAGAAAGCUGCGAAGAUCCGCAGGAAACCUGGAGAAUCCAUUUUGGUUCCAGAACUCACUGUUUCCUGUCCCGUCACUCCUAAUGAGCAGUGUCCACGAGGAGAAUUUGCACGGAGAGAGGACGUAGCAAAGCGUUCUCUCAUUAUCAAAGUGCUGUACAAUGGCAAAGAAGUUUCCAGAACAGACAGUCGCUCACUCAGCAUGGACUUCCGGGUUCACUUCGGCCAGAUGUUUAACCUGAAGAUCGUGAACUGGCCCGAGAGCAUCAAACUGCAGAUAUAUGAGAGCAUCGGAUCAUCCACCAAUCUGCUAGCGGAAGUGUGUGCGCCGGUUCCAGAAACUUCCAUCUUAACAGGAAGUGCUUCAUCUGAAGAGAUGGAGUUCAGCAGCAACCAAAGGGUCGCGUUUAACCAUGAGGGUGUCGGCAGUGAUGUGCCAUUCUCGUUCAUGGCUGAUGGCAGCAACAGGCAGACGCUGCUGACCUCGGGGAAGCUGUCCUGCUGUGUGUCAUGGGCUGUCGGAGAAGAUGACUUGCCCCUGGCUCCGCCCUCUGGCCAGCCUGGUGCAGGUAUACACAGUGGUCUGAGGCAGAUGGACGCUAUAGCGUGCAUCGGGGCGUCUGGACUAAACGACAUGACGAAGCUGGGGAAAUGGGCAGCCGAAUCUCGCCUUGACCCUAACGACCCCAACAACUCUUCCAUAAUGCAGCUGCUCUCGGUAGCGAGCGGAGGGGAAUUAGCGGUCCCGGAUUAUUUCCGACUGGAGCAGCUGCAGGAGGAGUUUAACUUCCUGUCGGACGAGGAGCUGGAUCGCUCGCGCCGCUUUCGCCUGCUAAGGCUAAGGAGCCAAGAGGUGGCCGAGUUUCGGCAUUUUAAAUCCGUGCCUUCCACCGAGCGGGAGAUCUCUGAGAAAGUGUUCGAGGAUUACGAGCGCAGGCUGAAGGAAGGACAGCUAGUGGACACCAAGGAGCACAUGGACACACACAGAGCUCUGGUGGCCAAGUAUUUAAAGAAAGUGCAAGAAUCCGUCAUUAAUCGCUUCCUCAUAGCGAAGCAUCAUUACGUUCUUUCGGAUGUGAUCAUAGAAGAGGAGGUACCGAGCAUCGGGAUUUUAGGCCUGAACCUGUUCAAGCUAGCCGAGCCCAAGCGUCCUCUGAAGCCUCGGAGAAAAGAAAGGAAAAAGGUCACGGCUCAGAACCUUUCAGACGGUGACAUCAAGCUGCUACUGAACAUCAUCAGAGGCUACGACAUCCCCGUCCGCAAACCUCAUACCAGCAAACCUUCAGCUGCAUCUAAGAGCGCCCGCUCCUACGCCGAGCCAUUUACAUCAGCUCAUUCAUCUCAGACUGCGCUGCAGGGUGGCGAGUGGCCCCUCGGGCAGCCCCAGGUCCGACCCUACGUCGAGGUCUCUUUCCAGCGUACAGUCCUGCAGACCUCCACAGCCGAGGGUCCGAAUCCCUGCUGGAACGAGGAACUGGUGCUGCCUUUCAGCGCUCCAAACGGAGAUUACAGCACGUCCAGCCUGCAGACUGUCCGCGACGAGGUCUUCAUCAGCAUCUUCGACGAGGUCCUCUAUGAGGUGUUCGAGAAUGAGGAAGAAAGAGGAAACAGCAUUCACACUCGUAUUGAGAGGCACUGGCUGGGGUCCAUUAAGAUUCCAUUCAGCACAAUCUACAUGCAGUCACGAAUUGACGGGACAUUUAAGGUGGCCAUGCCCCCAGUGUUGCUAGGCUACAGUAAAGAGCGGAGCCUCGGCGUCGAGGGGGGCUACGACACGGUUCGGAGUCUAAGCGAAGGCACCUUCCUCACCCUCUUUAUCACCAUCGAACCUCAGCUGGUGCCUGGAGACCCCAUCAGAGAAAAGUUUGACACACAGGAAGUGGAGCGGUUGCUUUUGGCGUGUGAGAGCUUCGAGAAGGACGCAGGGAAGAGGUUCCCGGACCGACCCUGCCUCACCACCGUGGUGGACAUGAACGGCAAAACCGUCUUCAUAACACGCUUCAUCCGACCCCUUAGUCCGCCACAGGAGCUGCUGGACGCUUUCCCCAACAACCCCCAGGAGACCACAGAGCUGGUCGCUCGAUACGUUUCUCUCAUUCCCUUUCUUCCGGACAGCGUGUCUUUCUCUGGUGUGUGUGAUUUAUGGAGCACCUGCGAUCAAUUCCUGAUGCUGCUAGCGGGAGACGAAGAAGAGCAUGCCGUCCUGCUCUGCAAUUACUUCCUGUCCAUGGGUAAAAAAGCUUGGCUCAUUAUAGGAACCGCAAUCCCUGAGGGUCCUACAGCUUACGUUCUCACCCAAGAACACAACCGCUACGUGAUCUGGAACCCAAGUAAGGGUCAGUACUAUGGACAAUACGACACCUUUUGCCCGCUACAGACUGUCGGCUGCCUGGUUAAUGCGGACAAUGUGUGGUUUAAUAUUCAGACCUAUGCCACUCCAAUGAGGAUGGUGUUUGAUGUCACCAAACCCAAGUGCUGGAAGCCGUUCUUCUCCAGAGCGUUCCCCGACCCAGGCCUCUCCAGCGUACAGCCUGAGCAGCUGGUGUACAAACGAACAGACAAGGCAGCUGCAGCAGAGUUACAGGACAGGAUAGAAAAGGUGCUGAGGGAGAAAAUCAUGGAAUGGCGUCCACGACACCCGACCCGCUGGAACCGUUAUUGCACAUCCACGUUACGUCAUUUCUUGCCCAAGCUGGAACGGAGCGGAGGCCGCGAGGUCACCGAAGAGCACCGGCUUGAGCUGCAAAGCCUGCUGGGAGAUUACAGGAUCUCCGGCUUCCCCCUGCACCUUCCGUUCUCUGAGAUUCGGCCCAUCGUCGAAGCCGUGCACAGCACAGGUGUCCAUAGCGUGGAGGCUCCUAACGUGGAGUUUGCGCUGGCCGUGAUUGACUGGAAAGGUGCUUGGAGAUGACCGCUUUACUGACACCAAUGGAAGGGUGAUGCUGACCCUGUAGAUCCUGGACAGGGUGACUAGCUUUUCCUGCCUCUUUCUGACUCAUGAUGUGAUUCAGUUCUGACUACAGCUCAAAGAGAAACGUAAAAGACGAAGCAGACGGUUUUGCACGCCACAUCUCCAAGUGUCCAACCCCAGAUGUAGUAACAAGCCCAGAACGGGAGUCCCACAGUGAAGAGCAGGUCCGACACGGCCAAGUUGAGGAUGAAGAUGUUGGUCAAAGAUUUGAGAUUCUUGUAGUACGCAAGAGUCACAAGAACCAAGAUGUUACCAAUUAGACUGAGUAACACCACAAUGCUGAAGAAUAACGGGACAACGAUGGAGCCAACUUUUGCCACGGAGUCCUUGUAACACAACUGAUUCAGAAUCUCAUCAAUAUCAGUAUAGAUAUACGUUAUAUCGAAUAAUUCUGUGUUGUUAUCUGUAAUGGAAAAAAUUUAUUAUUACACAUGCAGCAUAAGUUUCUAUUCAUUCUGGUUUCUGUAUUGUAAUAUCUCAUACAUGAAGAAAGGAAACUUUCUAUUCUACAGAAAUACCCAGAAUUGCACCACUAGUAACCAUGUACAAUGCAGUUCAUAUUUUGUUAAAAUAGCUUUAUAAAUCCAUUUCAGAAAUAAUCGUUUAUACUGAUCUGUGUAAUCCAUUUGUUCCUCUUCAAAUGGAUCACUGAAAAAAUGUAGCUCCUUUGUAAAACUAUGUCAAAGAACUAAAAAUGACUCCAUCUUUUUAUUCAUACAGUCCUGAGCAUUCACUCCCAAAUAGAGAAUAUAACUGAACCAAGUCAUACGAUGGCCGAGAAGUGUGAACACAAUAACAAAACCAAAAACACAAUGACAAUUCAGACAAACCGGAAAAGUUAGGUAUAGUUUGCGAAUGGAAUUCUUACCGCCGAUUGGAAGAGACAUCUAUCAAUCAAAAUAUACAAGAAUUCGGAAAUUGUUUAUCUAACAUUAU